AACGCUGGCGGCGUGCUUAACACACUGCAAGUCCAACGAUGAAGCUGGAGCUUGCUCCGGUGGAUUAGUGGCGAACGGGUGAGUAACACGUGAGAAAUCUUGCCCUUGACUCUGGGAUAACUGCGGGAAACUGUAGCUAAUACCGGAUACUUUCCCUGGUGGGCAUCCACUGGGGAAGAAAGAAUUUCGGUCAAGGAUGAUCUCGCGGCCUAUCAGCUAGUUGGUGAGGUAACGGCUCACCAAGGCGACGACAGGGUAGCCGGCCUGAGAGGGUGACCGGCACACUGGGACUGAGACACGGCCCAGACUCCUACAGGAGGCAGCCAGUGGGGAAUAUUGCACAAUGGGCGCCCAGCCUGAUGCAGCAACGCCGCGUGAGGGAUGACGGCCUUCGGGUUGUAAACCUCUUUUAGCAGGGAAGAAGCGAAAGUGACGGUACCUGCAGA
Molecule: ribosomal RNA, 446 nt
Filed under: uncultured Actinomycetes bacterium
Lineage: Bacteria; Bacillati; Actinomycetota; Actinomycetes
Description: bacterial SSU rRNA
Rfam family: Bacterial small subunit ribosomal RNA
Source: RNAcentral